RNA transcript from Juglans microcarpa x Juglans regia, 352 nucleotides. It is a transcript of the gene named dolichol-phosphate mannose synthase subunit 3-like, with no coding region annotated. Lineage: Eukaryota; Viridiplantae; Streptophyta; Magnoliopsida; Fagales; Juglandaceae. The transcript has 2 exons. The record is from RefSeq and is a predicted model, not a curated record.
CUCUGAUAUAAAGGAGGGAGAGAGUGCAAUAAUAUGUUUUUUAAGUCUUGUGGAGCAAAAUUGGUUGGAAGCACCAGAUGUGGUUCAACAAGCUAUUGUUCCUUCAGGGCAACUGGUGAUGGGGUUGAGAGGAUUGUAUCCGUUUUCUUCACUUUGGGGUUUUAUUUGGAAUAUCAACUAAACGGCCGCAUCCUCCAUGUCCACUACCGUCACUGAUAUCAUUGAGGCCAAGAAAUAUCUGAAGCCAAAAGGGAUUGAUGUAGGUUCUAAUUGAUUAGAGGAUGCUUGACUUUUGCUCAAUCCGUCGGUGGGAUGGUGAACUGCUAUUUUUAGACAAAAAUUUUGCAUUGGC